RNAcentral lists this non-coding RNA (173 nucleotides) under Gottschalkia acidurici. RNAcentral's name for it is "Clostridium acidurici T-box sequence". It matches the Rfam family "T-box leader". From Rfam's summary of the family: Uncharged tRNA acts as the effector for transcription antitermination of genes in the T-box leader family. T-boxes are found upstream of many aminoacyl-tRNA synthetase genes and some amino acid biosynthetic genes usually in Gram-positive bacteria. The anticodon of a specific tRNA base pairs to a specifier sequence within the T-box motif, and the NCCA acceptor tail of the tRNA base pairs to a conserved bulge in the T-box antiterminator hairpin. The record is from RNAcentral. Lineage: Bacteria; Bacillati; Bacillota; Tissierellia; Tissierellales; Gottschalkiaceae.
AUAUUUGCUAUGAAGAAAAAGAGUAACUAAAAGAACUAUCAAAGCGAAUUAGGGAUAGUGAAAGCCUAAUAUAAGCUUUUAGUGAACGGAAUUUCUGAGCGUAUAGUAUAAAGAUGGGUAUCAUAUAGAUAUCAAGUAGGGUGGAACCGCGGAAGUAACCUUUCGUCCCUAUG